Long non-coding RNA from Mercenaria mercenaria, 2298 nucleotides. RefSeq lists it as uncharacterized. The transcript has 2 exons. Lineage: Eukaryota; Metazoa; Mollusca; Bivalvia; Venerida; Veneridae. The record is from RefSeq and is a predicted model, not a curated record.
GAUGUACUUUUUGUAACAUUACUUUAAAGAAGGAAAGUAUCCUAGGAAAUGUAUGUAUAUAUUUUGGGAGCGUUUUAAUUCGAACAAAGGUUUGGUGAUUCGACUGGCGAACACAAGCAAUGAGUAUGCUAAUCAUAUAAACUAAAACAUCAAAAUUGUUGCAAUAAAAAAAUUAAAUAGUCAUUUCAAUAAAUGAAAUACCGUCUAACAUCAUAAAUACGGAGCAGAUAUUUUAAUGUUUGCUUUUAAUCAUGAGGUCGCGCUUUUUGUUUGAAAAACCGGAUAUCUAAAUAUGAUACAAAAAGAAAUGUUUUCCUGUUGUACAUGGUGUCCUAUAAUACUUUAUUUCUUUACAAUUGCCUUAAACAUUAAUAAUAAUGUUUCAUAUUGAAAUCUGGAUAAUUUCGUGGCUCCCCUUUUCACUGCCUGUGUUGAAAGACAGUUCCGUCUCAGGUUUCUGUCACAGGAGGGGUAUCACGUUAUAUUAUUCAGGCUAUUCUUUGAUAUCGGUAAAGAAAGACUGGCAAUACCCAAAGUGAACGAUAUAGAUUGUCGAUUUAAAAAAACACUGAAUGAAAGAAGGGAGAUCAAAUCAAAAAGAAGACUUGUAGUUUGAGAGUAUCGAACAAGACAAUAAGUCUCCGAGAAAACGCAACGAAGCUGAAGAGAAUCGAACUGAAGUAAUGGCAAGCUGUAGUGUUCUCUGAACGUAACGAUUUCAUAAAAUCUGCAGCUAUGCAUAAGUACCAGAUGGCAAAUGAAUUCUAUGAAUAAUAUUUAGUAAUUCUUCUCAUAUAAUAAGGACAAUUAAACGUGAUCUUUACUUCCAUAUUCUUAAAAAAAAAGCCAUACGCGAGGAUCGAAAGUAUAAAUGUUGGUCAUGUAUAUUUUCUUGUUUUAAAGCAUUCAGAGACAAGAUCAUUUCAUUUAAGACAGAAAAUCACAUUUUCCUCUUGCAUUAUUAAGACGUGCUAUAUAACACGUGGGUCAAGUAUCCAAAAUGAAUUGAAGAGCCACUCACAUUCCUGCAUUUACUUCAGCAUGAGCAGCUUAGACAGUUUCGAUCUGUUUCGUAUCAAUUUCAGGAUGUUUUAGAGAAGCAUGUCUAUCAUUUAUUUUAUAAAUGAAAACAAAGAGCAGACAACAUUACAAUGGCUUUUUCAUCGGCAACAUCCGGGAGGAAGGAAAAAGGUAAUUAUAUCUUGACAUAUUGCAUUAUUUCAAUAACAAGGAUCUUUGUUUUCUUUUAUAUUUUAAAUAAAAAAUCAAACUUCCACUGAUAGAAAAGAAAUCAUAAACUUUUCAUACGACUGGACGGGCUGUGUAUAAUCAGACAUUUUUGUACUGCUUUUAUUUCAAUUUUAACGAUUAAUUUUGGUAGGACUAUGUCAACUAGAACCUGAAUGAUUUGAAGAAAGGAUGAAACAGCAUGUUACUCGUGAUUUCUCCUCUAGAAAGAAGACACUCUUGAAAAGUAUUACAACAUUUGAUGUUCCCAUAAACAAUGGAUUAUGUGUGAAUGUACGGUAGUGGAGUAACUUUUUCGCGGACAUAUAUUUAAAUCCAUGUUGAUAACACUUGGGGGUUUAAAUGAUGAUUAAAGUUAGUGCAAAUGGUAUGUCGGUAUUACUCAAAUGGGUAUCAGUUGCCAGGAUCUUGUAUCAUGCUGUUAUGAAUGUCACUGGGCUGCAAAACAAAAUAUCAUGUUAUUUCUUCAUCGAUCGGUCAUGAACACCUGUUAAAUGCGGUCCUUACAUAAUUGAUCCACUGCGGGAAUACACCGAUGUUAGGGAAGUCGAAUACUUACUGUUAGACCAAAAACAUUGUCGUGGUGUGGGGCGGAUGACUAAGUAUUUACACACAUAAAAGUAGAAUACUUUCACAGAUAAGUGCUAAAAGUAAUAUUAAACAAAAAUGGACUCAUCAACUAGUCACAAUUUUAGAAUAUUUGACGUAUCAGUGUUAUGAUGACAUUUGAUAACAGAAUUCUCGGGUUAUUUGUUUGUCCACAAUAUUCCCUGGUACGUAUACGCCGGUUCAAAUGACCUUUUUAAAAGGGUCUUUAAAAAUGUCAUGAUUUUAAAACAUAUAAUAGGCUACUAAAUGAAAUGUUUUGUGAAUUUAUAUCUAUAUCUAUUAAUCAUGCACGAACAACCAUCAGCUAAAAUUAUUCAAUACGCAGAGCCUAUAACUUGUAAAUAAUAGGUUGAUUAAUUAACUCGACAUUUUAAAGUAAACAUAACAUUAUGUAUGUAACAUAUUGUCUUUAUGUAGCUUAAAGAUGUUUGUUUAACGGUA